AUAAAGCAGCUAAAGAUGGUUCAGCCUCAGGCACCACUUUGCACUCUGGAGAUGUCAUGAAGGUGAGAUGAUCCUGCCAGACCACGUAAAAGAGGAACCCUAGGCUCGAAGGAAAUUUAAUGCAAUUCCCCCUUUGUUGAAAUCAAGCUGGUCUGAUGUCAAGAUAAUUCCCUAGUGUUACGCAACAGUGAUGUCUAUCAAGAUUUUCUAUCUCAAAGUCUUUGAACAGAGACUGAGGAAGAAAGAAAGAAAGAAAGAGAUGGCUCAGCAGUUGGGGAAAGACCGUAUUGUCAAUUAGCUACCAGACAGAAUACUGGGAAUAGCUUGUCCACCAGUUAGGGACACUGGAAGAUCUGUUCCUGGUGA
Long non-coding RNA from Chiloscyllium plagiosum (whitespotted bambooshark), 366 nucleotides. RefSeq lists it as uncharacterized. Lineage: Eukaryota; Metazoa; Chordata; Chondrichthyes; Orectolobiformes; Hemiscylliidae. The record is from RefSeq and is a predicted model, not a curated record.